UUAAGUCAGGCAACGAGCGAGACCCACGCCAACAGUUGCCAGCAUGUCCUUCGGGAUGGUGGGGACACUGUUGGGACCGCCUCUGCUAAAGAGGAGGAAGGAAUGGGCAACGGUAGGUCAGCAUGCCCCGAAUUAUCCGGGCUACACGCGGGCUACAAUGGGUGGGACAAUGGGUAUCGACACCGAAAGGUGAAGGCAAUCUCCUAAACCCAUCCUUAGUUCGGAUUGUGGGCUGCAACUCGCCCACAUGAAGCUGGAAUCUGUAGUAAUCGUGUCUCAACAUGGCACGGUGAAUAUGUCCCUGCUCCUUGCACA
Molecule: ribosomal RNA, 315 nt
Filed under: uncultured archaeon
Lineage: Archaea
Description: bacterial SSU rRNA
Rfam family: Archaeal small subunit ribosomal RNA
Source: RNAcentral